UAGGUAUGUCAGGGUGAGAGAAUAGAUUAUAGUAUAUACGAAUACCCUCGAUGAUCGAUGAGAUACCGAUGCGAUUUUGGAUUUUUAGAUACGCUUUUAGGAGAUUUACCGUAGACAGAUUGCUAUAUUGUUACAUGUACAUAGGAAAGGUAGGACUCUUUUGAGGUUUCUCUGAAUAGGAAAAAAACGUGAAACAGCCACGUGAUUUAAUCGAAUAACGAAAUUAUAUCAAUGAUAAAAAAAUUUUAACUGUUUCAUCGAGACGAAAACGUGAUUCGAAACUAUAACACGUGAUAGUGAUGAAAACGAUUCAACUUAGCACGUGUUCUCAUGAGUGAAAGCCAUGGAUUGAUUCGUGACGAGCAAAUUUACUUAUAUUAGUGUAUCAGUGUAGUUUUUAACCAGACAAAGUUCGCAAGAAAUUUUUUUGAAAUUUUAUUGAAAUGUUUCGAUGUGAAUAUCAUGAACAUUGAUGAAUAUAAAUCUUAUGCAACGUUUUAUUGAUUUCUGACGUAAUACGAGCAAAAGACUGGGUAGAUGAUACGGGAAAAACGUAUGGGUUACUAUACAUAGGAUUGAAAACCGCGAAGCAUCUAUUCACAGUUUGUAUUCACGCGAUGCUCGCAUGGUUACCAGUUCGAUGUUUGAAAAAUCCUACCCGGACCCGGUCAUUUUCUAAUUUUCUAGCGUGCAAUCUUGAGUGGACGUUGGUCCAUUGAUUAGAGGUUCCGGCGACUUCUCUUAUCUUCGGCUUUUUUCAUCAUGUACUCAUUAUCGAAAUAGCGAGCGAAAAAAUUAGACUGCAUGCAAAAAAUGACAUUACUAUUCCUUAAAUUUGUUAAACAUAAUUAAUCUGUCAUCGUGAUGCAUUGAGGAUUAGUGAUUUACCGACUCUGGAUAAAAAAACAUGAAAUAAAAAAUUCGUAUUGGAUUGCGAAUGAGAAUUUCGCAAUUGAUGGAUGUCAAAGAGUCGUCAAACACGGUGCCGAUAUUCGUCAAUUUUCAGAAAUUUUGUGGAUUUAUCGCGUCACGCUAGACAAAAUAAAAUUAUGUAAUUCCAUCAGAGACGCUGUCUGCCUAUUUUGACCUUUCCGAGUAAUAGAUAUAGGCUUCAAGAAUCCAAACAUAAUGACCACAUAAGGAAGAAAACAGUCAUCGUAUAAUUAUCUUGUUGAUAUCUGUAGCAUACAUGAAAAUCAAGGAAUUAGUCAUUGUUUUGUCAAAUUCGCUUUUUUUUUUUAGUCUUAUCUUUUUUUUAAUGGCUAUCGUUUGUGCAAUAAUCGACAAUCCGUCGAUUAUUUAUCAUCAAGAAUUUGUUAAAAAACAUUAUCGAGACAAAGAAUAAGGAUUAUUCAUAUGAUGGAUUUCUUUGUUUUUUGUUUUUUUUGAAAUAAUAGAAAUGAUAAGAUGCGAAAGUAAAAUUGAUUUGAAAAUGGAAUGAA
This is a long non-coding RNA of Apis dorsata (giant honeybee), 1442 nucleotides long. RefSeq lists it as uncharacterized. NCBI's taxonomy places the organism in Eukaryota, Metazoa, Arthropoda, Insecta, Hymenoptera, Apidae. The record is from RefSeq and is a predicted model, not a curated record. The transcript has 3 exons.